UUAAGUUCAGCGGGUAUUCCUACCUGAUCCGAGGUCAAUCUUCAGAAGUUGGGUGUUUCACGGCGUGGCCAUGCUGCGCUCCAGUGCGAGGUGUGCUACUACGCAAGGGAGGCCGCAGCGAGACCGCCACUGUAUUUGGGGGGCGGCGCGCCCUCCGCGGAUGGCGGAGGUCGGUUGCCGGUCCCCAACGCCGCAGCCCG
RNAcentral lists this unclassified non-coding RNA (200 nucleotides) under Sordariomycetes sp. Its description in RNAcentral is "partial internal transcribed spacer 2". Lineage: Eukaryota; Fungi; Ascomycota; Sordariomycetes. The record is from RNAcentral.